AGACGGAGGGCGCAAGCGUUGUUCGGAAUCACUGGGCAUAAAGAGUACGUAGGCGGUCUGCUAAGUCAGAUGUGAAAGCCCUGGGCUUAACCCGGGAACUGCAUUUGAUACUGGCAGACUUGAGGACAGCAGGGGUGAGUGGAACUUCAGGUGGAACGGUGAAAUGUGUAGAUAUCUGAAGGAACACCGGUGGCGAAAGCGGCUCACUGGGCUGUCUCUGACGCUGAGGUACGAAAGCUAGGGUAGCGAACGGAAUUAGAAACCCUUGUAGUCC
Molecule: ribosomal RNA, 274 nt
Filed under: uncultured bacterium
Lineage: Bacteria
Description: partial 16S ribosomal RNA
Rfam family: Bacterial small subunit ribosomal RNA
Source: RNAcentral